This 253-nucleotide ribosomal RNA is filed under the name uncultured bacterium. RNAcentral describes it as "partial 16S ribosomal RNA". It matches the Rfam family "Bacterial small subunit ribosomal RNA", at positions 524 to 776 of the family's 1533-position model. The record is from RNAcentral.
GAUGAACCGUGCGAACGUUGUUCGGAAUCACUGGGCUUAAAGGGCGCGUAGGCGGCUUCGCAAGUCUGGGGUGAAAUCCAUCGGCUCAACCGGUGGACGGCCUGGGAUACUGCGCGGCUGGAGGGGGGUAGGGGCGACGGGAACGGCCAGUGGAGCGGUGAAAUGCGUUGAGAUUGGCAGGAACGCCGGUGGCGAAAGCGCGUCGCUGGACCCCACCUGACGCUGAGGCGCGAAAGCCAGGGGAGCAAACGGG